GAUGAAGAACGCAGCGAAAUGCGAUACGUAAUGUGAAUUGCAGAAUUCAGUGAAUCAUCGAGUCUUUGAACGCACAUUGCGCCCCCUGGUAUUCCGGGGGGCAUGCCUGUCCGAGCGUCAUUGCUGCCCUCAAGCACGGCUUGUGUGUUGGGCCUCCGUCCUCCUCCCGGGGGACGGGCCCGAAAGGCAGCGGCGGCACCGCGUCCGGUCCUCGAGCGUAUGGGGCUUCGUCACCCGCUCUUGUAGGCCCGGCCGGCGCUUGCCGACACAUCAAUCUUUUUUCCAGGUUGACCUCGGAUCAGGUAGGGAUACCCGCUGAACUUAAGCAUAUCGAUAAGCGGAGGA
This 345-nucleotide unclassified non-coding RNA is filed under the name soil metagenome. RNAcentral's name for it is "partial contains 5.8S ribosomal RNA, internal transcribed spacer 2, and large subunit ribosomal RNA". The stretch from base 1 to 120 matches the Rfam family "5.8S ribosomal RNA", at positions 35 to 154 of the family's 154-position model. The record is from RNAcentral.